This 395-nucleotide ribosomal RNA is filed under the name uncultured bacterium. RNAcentral's name for it is "bacterial SSU rRNA". It matches the Rfam family "Bacterial small subunit ribosomal RNA", at positions 35 to 412 of the family's 1533-position model. The record is from RNAcentral.
AAUGAAGCUGGCGGCGUGCUUAACACAUGCAAGUCGUGCGCGAAGGUGGCUUCGGCUGCCGGAGAGCGGCGAACGGGUGAGUAACACGUGGGUGAUCUGCCUGGGGGCGGGGGAUAACCUGGGGAAACUCGGGCUAAUACCGCAUACGUUGGCGGGUUUACGGACUCGUCAAGAAAGCUGGCCUCUGCUUGCAAGCUAGCGCUCCCAGAGGAGCCCGCGGCUGAUAGCUAGUUGGUGAGGUAAUGGCUCACCAAGGCGACGAUCAGUAGCCGGCCUGAGAGGGUGAUCGGCCACACUGGGACUGAGACACGGCCCAGACUCCUACGGGAGGCAGCAGUGGGGAAUAUUGGACAAUGGGCGCAAGCCUGAUCCAGCAACGCCGCGUGGAGGAUGAA